UGUAAGAGCUAGAGGAUGGGACGGAC
Molecule: non-coding RNA, 26 nt
Filed under: Rattus norvegicus (Norway rat)
Lineage: Eukaryota; Metazoa; Chordata; Mammalia; Rodentia; Muridae
Source: RNAcentral